RNAcentral lists this transfer RNA (70 nucleotides) under Tarragoilus diuturnus. RNAcentral describes it as "tRNA-Val". It matches the Rfam family "tRNA". From Rfam's summary of the family: Transfer RNA (tRNA) molecules are approximately 80 nucleotides in length. Their secondary structure includes four short double-helical elements and three loops (D, anti-codon, and T loops). Further hydrogen bonds mediate the characteristic L-shaped molecular structure. tRNAs have two regions of fundamental functional importance: the anti-codon, which is responsible for specific mRNA codon recognition, and the 3' end, to which the tRNAs corresponding amino acid is attached (by aminoacyl-tRNA synthetases). tRNAs cope with the degeneracy of the genetic code in two manners: having more than one tRNA (with a specific anti-codon) for a particular amino acid; and 'wobble' base-pairing, i.e. permitting non-standard base-pairing at the 3rd anti-codon position. Lineage: Eukaryota; Metazoa; Arthropoda; Insecta; Orthoptera; Prophalangopsidae. The record is from RNAcentral.
CAAAAUAAAGCUUUAUAGUAAAGUAUCUCAUUUACAUUGAGAAGAUUUCCGUGCGAUUCGGAUAUUUUGA